RNAcentral lists this ribosomal RNA (685 nucleotides) under uncultured marine pelagophyte. RNAcentral's name for it is "bacterial SSU rRNA". It matches the Rfam family "Bacterial small subunit ribosomal RNA", at positions 619 to 1317 of the family's 1533-position model. The record is from RNAcentral. Lineage: Eukaryota; Pelagophyceae.
AACUGCAGCAGAAACUGCUAGGCUUGAGUACAGUUGAAGUAGAGGGAAUUUCCAGUGAAGCGGUGAAAUGCGUAGAUAUUGGAAGGAACACCAAUGGCGAAAGCACUCUACUAGACUUUUACUGACACUCAGAGACGAAAGCUAGGGUAGCAAAUGGGAUUAGAUACCCCAGUAGUCCUAGCCGUAAACGAUGGAUACUAAACAUUGCGUGCAUCGAUCCGCGUGGUGUUAUAGCUAACGCGUUAAGUAUCCCGCCUGGGGAGUAUGCUCGCAAGGGUGAAACUCAAAGGAAUUGACGGGGGCCCGCACAAGCGGUGGAGCAUGUGGUUUAAUUUGAUGCAACGCGAAGAACCUUACCAGGGUUUGACAUGGUGUUAAUUCUUUGAAAAAAGAAGUACCGUUCGCGGUAGACACACACAGGUGGUGCAUGACUGUCGUCAGCUCGUGUCGUGAGAUGUUGGGUUAAGUCCCGCAACGAGCGCAACCCUUGUUUUUAGUUACAAGUAAUCUAAAAAGACUAUCGGUUAUAAACCGGAGGAAGGUGGGGACGACGUCAAGUCAGCAUGCCCCUUAUACCCUGGGCUACACACGUGCUACAUUGGGUAGGACAAUGAGACGCCAAACCGUGAGGUCGAGCUAAUCUACAAACCUACUCUAAGUUCGGAUUGGAGGCUGCAACUCGCCU